Heterocephalus glaber (naked mole-rat) is the source of this 4031-nucleotide long non-coding RNA. The record is from Ensembl. NCBI's taxonomy places the organism in Eukaryota, Metazoa, Chordata, Mammalia, Rodentia, Bathyergidae.
AAUUGAUUAUGGAUUUUUGUGUACUAGUUUUAUUCUUUAACCUUGCUAGUUUAUUCAUCCUAACAGGUGUGUGUGUGUGUGUGUGUGUGUGUGUCUGUCUGUCUGUCUGUCUGUCUGUCUUUGGAUUUCCUAGCAGUUGCUAUACAUGGGUCCUGACAUCUUUGAAUAAGGACAUUUUCUUCCUUUUCAAUCUCCAUGACUUAUCUUUUUCCUUAUUGCUCUGGCAAGACCCUUCAGUACAUUGUUGAAAACAAGCGGUGAAGGUUGACCUUAUUUUUUUUCCUGAUACAAGGGGGGGAAUAUUUAGUUUUUCAUUAUUAAAUAUGGUAUCUGUUGUAGGUUUGUCAUAGGUUGUGGACUUUAUAAAUGUAAGACCAUUUCCAUUGUUAGUUUGAGAAUUGUUACCAUGAAUGGAUAUAGGGGCUUAGUGAAAUGGUUUUAAUAUGUUUUCACUGAGCUGAGCCUGUGGCUUUUGUCAUUUAUUUUAUGGAUAUGGUAUAUUACAUUAAGUGUUUUUUGGAAGUUAGACCAAGCUUGGAUUUCUGGGAUAAGUUACACUGUGUCAGAAUGUGUCACUGAAUUUGAUUUGCUAUUAUUUUAUUAGUGAAUUUUACAUUUAUAUUUUUAUGAGGACUAUUUUCUUGUGAUGCCUUUGUUUUCAGUAUCAGGGUAAUUGGGCUGUAUUAAUUUUCUGUUGCUGCUAUAACAUUAUUACAAACUUAAUGACUUAAGAGCAACGCCAUUUACUAAAACUACACCAUUUACUGAAACUACACUGUUUAUUCAGUUUUGGUGGAUCAGAUUUGAUAUUUGGUUCAGCUGGUUCUUUCUCCGAUUAAUCUCACAAGGCUGAAAUCAAGUUGUUGGCAGCAUUUUGUUCCUUUUAGGAGGCUCUAAAGGAGAACUCACUUUCAGGCUUAGUCAAGGUGUUGGCUGAAUUCACUUCCGUGCAGUUGUAGGACUUGAGGUUUCUAUUUCUUUACUGGCUACUAGCCUGGGGUUAUUUGCAGCUUCUAAGGCUGUCUGCAUUCCCUGGCCUUGUGGCUCCUUGAAAGCCAAUAGCAGGUUAGAUUUCUUUCCAGUUUCAAAUUUCCCUGACUUUCUCUUCCAUAUUUCUGAUACAUGAUUCUUAACUCCAGCCAGAGAAAUUUCUCCCUUUGUAGUGUAGUGUUCAUGUGAUUAGAUUGGGCCCACCUGGAUACCCCAGGCUAAUCUCGUUAAGGAAUGUGACCUUAAUUACAUUUGCUAAGUCCUUGCACAGCAGUACUUAGAUUAUGUUUGAAUGAAUAACUAGGGGACAGGAACCUUGAAGAGAUAGCUUUGGAAUUCUGCCUACUAUACAGUCCUCAUGGAAUUAAUCAGGGGAUUGAACCCAGGGCCUUGACAGAUACUAGGGAAGUACUCUACAACUUAGCUACAGCUACAGUCCUUUUUGUUUUGAGACAGGAUCUAAUUUGUCCAGGGUGAUCUGGAGCAUGUGAUACUCCUACCUUAACCUCCUGAGUAGCUAGGAUUACAGGUGUGUUCCACCAUGUCCAACUUCUUAAAUUAGUUCAGACUAUAGAUUUAAUAUUUUUCUUCUUUUCUGCUAUAAGUGUUUAAAACACCGUUUUAGUUAUAUCUCAUACAUUUUGAUGUUUUGCAUUUAAUUUCAUUCAGUUCAAAACUAUUUUCUAAUUUACUUUGUGAUUUUUUUUUUUGGUACUGGGGAUCAAACUUGGGACCUUGCACUUUUGAGGCAGGCAGUGGAACCACUGAGCUAAAUCCCCAGCCCUGUGAUCUUUUUCUUUGAUCUGUCGGUUAUUUUAAAGUAUGUGAUUUAAUUUUGAGAUAAGUACUUGGAGAUUUGUCAUACUUCUUCUCUGCUUUGGAGUUUUUAAAAAUUCUGUUGUUACUGGAGAACCUACUUGUAUGAUUUUAAUCAUUUUAAAUUUAUUGAUGAUUUCUUAUAGCAUAUCAUAGGGUUUGAUGGACUUUUUCUGGAAAGGGCCAUAUAGAAAAUAUUUUAGGGUUUUUGGUCCAUGUGGUCUGAGUUGCACCUGCUCAUUUUUACUGUCCUAGUGCAAAAACAGCCAUAAACUAUACAACACAUAAACCAGUGAGCCUAUCUUUGUUAGAAUAAAACAAAAAUCAGGGCUGGGUUUGACCUGGCCAUAGUGCACUAACCCUAACUUUUUCACCAUUGGGCCCUCAUAUCUUUUCUUGUAUGCAAGCUUGUGGUCAGCCAGAGAUGUCUGACUUUCUGCAGUAUCUCCAUCCUGAUGUGUGGAACACUUAGCGAGGUUCCUCAGAGUUUCAUUUCCAGAUUUGCCCUUUAGAUUUCUGUCUCAUUUCCUGGUUCAUUGCUUGCACUAUGACAGCAACCUCAGGCUGAUGGAUCCUUGGUCUUGCUUGUUGCCAAAAAUAUAAGCUCUUACUGACACUGCGAUGAAUGUGGGGGUUUUCUGUGCUUUGCUUCAUGCCAAAUGAGCUCCCUCUGUGGUGGAAGCUGCUGGUUUUCAUGGCUUUCCCCACCUCAGUGGAACUACCUUUCCCACUAACCUGAGAGUGUUUAAAGGGAACAGCCCCAGGUAAUAAUGCCACAUACACCCACUAUUCUAACCCCAAGUUCAAUAGAUUCUAGUGAAUAACAACAGAGAUGGUAACAUUUGAAAAAAAUCUGAAGGAGAUGAGGAAGUUUUCCAUGUCGCUAUCUACAGGAAGAACAUUCUUGGGAGAGGGAGCACCUUAAGGAUGUUUCAUACAUAUCUAGAGUAUAAAAGGGAUAAUAAAGAGGCUGGCAUGUCUCCAGUAGAAUACGUGAACUCAGAGAAAGGUAGUAGGACAUGCAAUCCGAGCUGUCCGAAAUAGGGGCAGGGCACCUGAAUAGAUAGGACCAUGAGGGCUGCUCUAAGGACUUUUUCGCUUUUCUUUUUAGUGAAAUGGGCCUGAACCAGUAGUGUCAGAGAUAAUCUGUCUUACAAUUUUAUUAUUUCUUUUAUUUUUUGGUACCAGGGAUCGAACUUGGGACUUUGCGCUUGCAAGGCAGGUGGCGGAACAACUGAGCUAAAUCCCCUGCCCCUGUCUUACAAUUUUAAAUAGCUGCAAUAGUGAAAUAGAAGCUACAGGUGUCAGGUAGAAGACUCAGGAUGCCAGUUAUAGGCUCUUACCAUUCUGAUUAUGUGUGCAAGAUGUUUGUGAUUUAAACAGAGUGGUAGCAGUGGAGGUGAAGUGGCCCACGUCUGUAGGGGACAGGGGAAGGGGACGUUACCAGAACCUCUGCAGUGAGUCCUGGUCUCCUGCGAGCCACGGCAGCACACGGCGAAUUACAGGAAAGGUAGAAAAAUGAGACCGAGAAGAAGCUGAGCUUUGGGUCUGAUCAGUGCUGCUCUGGGCAGCAAAGACAAAGCCCCCAGCUUACCACACCGUUUAUUCAGUACAUCAGGAGAAACAAAUGUAACAAAUGACUUGCAGAGAGUUCAACAGUUCACAUUGGGAUAAACAAGGUGUAACGGAAGGCUUGCAGAGAGUUCAGUACAUCUCCGGCAAACAAGAUGUUAAUCAGUCCAAGAACAAUGAGGAACUGAGCAGAUGUUUGUUCUCCCAGGAUGUUUCUUGUCCUGGAGAAUCACAGCAUUACUGGAUCACUGAAGUCUCAGUUGUGACCAGAGGCCAAACUGGAGUUAUUCUGUAGCUGGGCUGUAGGCAAGAGAACUAGGCUAACCAAAUGAUUUUUCCGUAGAAUUAUGUAGCAUUGCUCCCAACACACGUCUGGGUGUAUUUUAAAGGUAGAACAAAUUGUUUUUUUAAUAGGUUAGAGGUAGUAGGGAGUGAACAGACUGAGAUCUUUUCUUAUUUCAAGGGAAUUUUCCUAUAUACAUAUUUGUGAAUGCUUUUUGUCUUCCUUUUAUUUAGCCUUAUUAUUUGAGUCUCAAUAUUAAUUUGAGUGAUUUUUUCAUUUUUUGUAUUCCAGUAUUGUAAUUGUUUUAAUCUCUUUUUUUCUUCUGAAGGCUUUUCUUCAUUGUAUUCGUUCUAUUUUCAUCUGUGUUUAU